GAUGAACGCUGGCGGCGUGCCUAAUACAUGCAAGUCGAGCGAACAGACGAGGAGCUUGCUCCUCUGACGUUAGCGGCGGACGGGUGAGUAACACGUGGAUAACCUACCUAUAAGACUGGGAUAACCUCGGGAAACCGGAGCUAAUACCGGAUAAUAUAUUGAACCGCAUGGUUCAAUAGUGAAAGACGGUUUUGCUGUCACUUCUAGAGGGAUCCGCGCCGCAUUAGCUAGUUGGUAAGGUAACGGGUUACCACGGCAACGAUGCGUGGCCGACCUGAGGGGGGGAUCGGCCACACUGGAGCUGAGCCGCGGUCCAGGCUCCUACGGGAGGGAGCAGUAGGGUACCUUCCGCAAUGGGCGAAAGCCUGACGGAGCAACGCCGCGUGAGUGAUGAAGAUCUUCGGAGCGUAAAACUCUGUUAUUGGGUAUGAACAGAUGUGUAAGUAGCUAUGCACGUCUUGACGGUACCUAAUCAGAAAGCCACGGCUAACUACGUG
Molecule: ribosomal RNA, 497 nt
Filed under: uncultured bacterium
Lineage: Bacteria
Description: partial 16S ribosomal RNA
Rfam family: Bacterial small subunit ribosomal RNA
Source: RNAcentral